AAUUGUACAUUAAAUUACAUAUUUUAAUACAGGACUCAGUGACGCAUACGAUUCUACAAAAACUACAGGUUACUGAAAAUUUAAUAUUACGUCUAGGUUUAGAAAAAGAAUUAAAUGGUCAUUCAGGAUGUGUUAAUUGUUUAGAAUGGAAUGAAACUGGACAAGUUCUUGCGUCAGCGUCAGAUGAUAAAGACAUUAUCUUAUGGGAUCCUUUUCGUUAUGAAAAAAAACUUGUACUUCAUUCGGGCCAUCGCGGAAAUAUUUUCUCUGUAAAAAAUCUGGCCAAAUUGUAUGCAUGACUGCCGACCGAGGACACGAUAAUUUUGAGUGGAAAACCAGCUUUAUGAAUUUUUACGGCAAACCGUAGCAGCGGGGAAGAUUGCCAU
This 386-nucleotide long non-coding RNA is filed under the name Monomorium pharaonis (pharaoh ant). Its description in RNAcentral is "uncharacterized LOC114254544, transcript variant X1". Lineage: Eukaryota; Metazoa; Arthropoda; Insecta; Hymenoptera; Formicidae. The record is from RNAcentral.